RNAcentral lists this ribosomal RNA (476 nucleotides) under uncultured bacterium. Its description in RNAcentral is "partial 16S ribosomal RNA". It matches the Rfam family "Bacterial small subunit ribosomal RNA", at positions 28 to 523 of the family's 1533-position model. The record is from RNAcentral.
GAUGAACGCUGGCGGCGUGCUUAACACAUGCAAGUCGAGCGAGUGAGUUCUUCGGAACGAUCUAGCGGCGGACGGGUGAGUAACACGUGGGCAACCUGCCUCAUAGAGGGGAAUAGCCUCCCGAAAGGGAGAUUAAUACCGCAUAAAAUUAUCGAGUGGCAUCACAUGAUAAUCAAAGGAGUAAUCCGCUAUGAGAUGGGCCUGCGGCGCAUUAGCUAGUUGGUGAGGUAACGGCUCACCAAGGCGACGAUGCGUAGCCGACCUGAGAGGGUGAUCGGCCAGAUUGGGACUGAUACACGGCCCAGACUCCUACGGGAGGCAGCAGUGGGGAAUAUUGCACAAUGGGGGAAACCCUGAUGCAGCAACGCCGCGUGAGUGAUGAAGGUCUUCGGAUUGUAAAGCUCUGUCUUUGGGGACGAUAAUGACGGUACCCAAGGAGGAAGCCACGGCUAACUACGUGCCAGCCGCCGCCGUAA